Molecule: ribosomal RNA, 467 nt
Filed under: uncultured bacterium
Lineage: Bacteria
Description: partial 16S ribosomal RNA
Rfam family: Bacterial small subunit ribosomal RNA
Source: RNAcentral
GACGAACGCUGGCGGCGUGCUUAACACAUGCAAGUCGAACGGAAAGGCCUCUUUCGGGGGGUACUCGAGUGGCGAACGGGUGAGUAACACGUGAGUAACCUGCCCUUGACUUUGGGAUAACUUCAGGAAACUGGGGCUAAUACCGGAUAGGAGCUCCUGCUGCAUGGUGGGGGUUGGAAAGUUUCGGCGGUUGGGGAUGGACUCGCGGCUUAUCAGCUUGUUGGUGGGGUAGUGGCUUACCAAGGCUUUGACGGGUAGCCGGCCUGAGAGGGUGACCGGCCACAUUGGGACUGAGAUACGGCACAGACUCCUACGGGAGGCAGAAGGGGGGAAUAUUGCACAAUGGGUGGAAGCCUGAUGCAGCAACGCCGUGUGCGGGAUGACGGCCUUCGGGUUGUAAACCGCUUUCGCUCAUGACGAAGCUUUGUGUGACGGUAGUGGGUAAAGAAGCACCGGCUAACUACGUG